UCUCUUCCUCUUCAUUCUCUUCUCCUUCCGACCGUGUCCGCCACCACCUCUCUUCCAUCCUCUCCGUCUCCGUCCUCUGUCCCUAUCUCCAUCUCCGUCGGCGUUCUUAGCUUCGCCGGACGUUCGCUGCAGCCACCAUCCGCAAGUCGCGCCGCCUGCCGUCCACCUACAGCCGACGUUUCUCUCUCUCUCUCUCUUCGUUUCUGCCACCGCCGGCAUCCUCUCCGUUCUCAUCUCGUGUUUCCGACGCCGACAGAACACAGAGGGGAGCGCCGUCGUCGCCGGAAGGGGGAAGGAAUACACGAGCCGUGAAGUGAAGCCGACCCGAGAACCCAUUUCCAAGCUGACCUGACCCGAGACCAUUUCCAGCCGAGCCGCGAGCCGCAAGCAAAUCCAGCCGAGCCGAGUAGCGAUCCGAGCCAAGCCGCGAGCCGCGAGUCGAGCCGCGAGCCGAGGCAAGCCGAAGACCAAGCCGAGUCAAGCCACGAGCCGAGCCGCGAGCCGAGACAAGCCGAAGAUCGAGCCGAGCCGAGCCGAGUUGAGCCGAGUUGUGAGCCGAGGCCAAGCCGAGCCGAGCCGAGAGUGAGCCGAGCCGUGAGCCGAGGCCAAGCCGAGCCGAGCCGAGAGUGAGCCGAGCCGAGCCGAGCCACCUAAGCCUUCCUCCCUCCACUUCGGGUCACGGUGAGUCUUCGGUAAGGAUUGUUUUGAUGAAUUCCCUAAUGUUACCACAUCCGAUUCGAGUUUGAAUGUUGGAAUAAGAUAUGGCCCUACUUUUCUCCCUUGAAGGUAGUAAGGAGUUGACGCUUAAGUUCUCGGAUCUCGCGGCAGGCUUGUUUGGAGAUAGCUUUCCUUUCCUUGGGUUGAUCCGUUGAGCGUGGAUUCGAUCGAGGGGCAUAACCGAGUAUUCAAAUUGGGAUUUUAUGUUGAUGGACCUUGAAGUUACGGUUCAGUAUGUAGUAAUCAUUGGUCUGGAUGUUGAUCAUGGAGUUUGGACGGGGAAGGACAGUGAG
This is a long non-coding RNA of Cucumis melo (muskmelon), 1010 nucleotides long. RefSeq lists it as uncharacterized. Lineage: Eukaryota; Viridiplantae; Streptophyta; Magnoliopsida; Cucurbitales; Cucurbitaceae. The record is from RefSeq and is a predicted model, not a curated record. The transcript is spliced from 3 exons.